AGUGAACGCUGGCGGUAGGCCUAACACAUGCAAGUCGAACGGCAGCACAGUAAGAGCUUGCUCUUACGGGUGGCGAGUGGCGGACGGGUGAGGAAUACAUCGGAAUCUACUUUUUCGUGGGGGAUAACGUAGGGAAACUUACGCUAAUACCGCAUACGACCUACGGGUGAAAGCAGGGGAUCUUCGGACCUUGCGCGAUUGAAUGAGCCGAUGUCGGAUUAGAUAGUUGGCGGGGUAAAGGCCCACCAAGGCGACGAUCCGUAGCUGGUCUGAGAGGAUGAUCAGCCACACUGGAACUGAGACACGGUCCAGACUCCUACGGGAGGCAGCAGUGGGGAAUAUUGGACAAUGGGCGAAAGCCUGAUCCAGCCAUACCGCGUGGGUGAAGAAGGCCUUCGGGUUGUAAAGCCCUUUUGUUGGGAAAGAAAAGCAGCAGGUUAAUACCCCGCUGUUCUGACGGUACCCAAAGAAUAAGCACCGGCUAACUUCGUG
Molecule: ribosomal RNA, 492 nt
Filed under: uncultured bacterium
Lineage: Bacteria
Description: partial 16S ribosomal RNA
Rfam family: Bacterial small subunit ribosomal RNA
Source: RNAcentral